AAGUCGUAACAAGGUCUCCGUAGGUGAACCUGCGGAGGGAUCAUUACAGAGUUCAUGCCCUUCGGGGUAGACCUCCCACCCGUGUGAACGAUACCUUUGUUGCUUUGGUUGGCCGCGGGCCCGCCCGCUACCGGCUCUGCUAGUACGCGCCAACCAGAGGCCCUAACUCCUGUCUUCUGUGCCGUCUAAGUCCCAUAUAAUCGUUAAAACUUUCAACAACGGAUCUCUUGGUUCUG
This 236-nucleotide unclassified non-coding RNA is filed under the name Pezicula sp. Its description in RNAcentral is "partial contains small subunit ribosomal RNA, internal transcribed spacer 1, and 5.8S ribosomal RNA". The stretch from base 1 to 46 matches the Rfam family "Eukaryotic small subunit ribosomal RNA", at positions 1786 to 1831 of the family's 1831-position model. The record is from RNAcentral. Lineage: Eukaryota; Fungi; Ascomycota; Leotiomycetes; Helotiales; Dermateaceae.